GAUGAAGAACGUAGCGAAAUGCGAUACGUAAUGUGAAUUGCAGAAUUCAGUGAAUCAUCGAGUCUUUGAACGCACAUUGCGCCCCCUGGUAUUCCGGAGGGCAUGCCUGUCCGAGCGUCAUUGCUGCCCUCAAGCACGGCUUGUGUGUUGGGCUCCGUCCUCCUUCCGGGGGACGGGCCCGAAAGGCAGCGGCGGCACCGCGUCCGGUCCUCAAGCGUAUGGGGCUUUGUCACCCGCUUUGUAGGACUGGCCGGCGCCUGCCGAUCAACCAAACUUUUUUCCAGGUUGACCUCGGAUCAGGUAGGGAUACCCGCUGAACUUAAGCAUAUCAAUAAGCGGAGGA
Molecule: unclassified non-coding RNA, 343 nt
Filed under: soil metagenome
Description: partial contains 5.8S ribosomal RNA, internal transcribed spacer 2, and large subunit ribosomal RNA
Rfam family: 5.8S ribosomal RNA (bases 1-120)
Source: RNAcentral